This 503-nucleotide ribosomal RNA is filed under the name uncultured bacterium. RNAcentral describes it as "bacterial SSU rRNA". It matches the Rfam family "Bacterial small subunit ribosomal RNA", at positions 8 to 507 of the family's 1533-position model. The record is from RNAcentral.
AGAGUUUGAUCCUGGCUCAGAUUGAACGCUGGCGGAAUGCUUUACACAUGCAAGUCGAACGGCAGGCACGGGGCAACCUGGUGGCGAGUGGCGAACGGGUGAGUAAUACAUCGGAACGUGCCCAAUCGUGGGGGAUAACGUAGCGAAAGUUACGCUAAUACCGCAUACGAUCUACGGAUGAAAGCGGGGGAUCGCAAGACCUCGCGCGAAUGGAGCGGCCGAUGUCAGAUUAGGUAGUUGGUGGGGUAAAGGCUCACCAAGCCAACGAUCUGUAGCUGGUCUGAGAGGACGACCAGCCACACUGGAACUGAGACACGGUCCAGACUCCUACGGGAGGCAGCAGUGGGGAAUUUUGGACAAUGGGCGCAAGCCUGAUCCAGCCAUUCCGCGUGCAGGAUGAAGGCCUUCGGGUUGUAAACUGCUUUUGUACGGAACGAAAAGGUCCUGGUUAAUACCUGGGGCUCAUGACGGUACCGUAAGAAUAAGCACCGGCUAACUACGUG